Mycetomoellerius zeteki is the source of this 110-nucleotide long non-coding RNA. RefSeq lists it as uncharacterized. The record is from RefSeq and is a predicted model, not a curated record. Lineage: Eukaryota; Metazoa; Arthropoda; Insecta; Hymenoptera; Formicidae. The transcript has 3 exons.
AUGUAUGUAUAUGUAGGAUGUAUCUUAAAAAGCGCUCACGAACCAUAUAGCGCUAUUCCUGAUCAAAAACUGAGUCUAAAACUUAUGAACCAUUUUGCAAUUUUCGCAAU